This is a long non-coding RNA of Sus scrofa (pig), 2548 nucleotides long. RefSeq lists it as uncharacterized. The record is from RefSeq and is a predicted model, not a curated record. NCBI's taxonomy places the organism in Eukaryota, Metazoa, Chordata, Mammalia, Artiodactyla, Suidae.
GUUGCAUCACUUGGUUUGCCCAGAGUCACACAGACGAGGGAGGCACCGUGGCUGCAGCCCAGCAAACCCUCCCUGAGAUCGUUUCUACGGCUGGAUCCAGCCUCCCCGCCCGGCGAGCCAAGCCCUGGCCCAGGCAGUGGUCCAGCCGGCCACCUCCCCGCCCCACCCCUCCCACCAGGGCUAAUUAAAGACCCAGCAAAUCAGAGCCAGAGGAAACGAUCGUGGUGGAAGGAUCUGGCUGGACCCCAAGCCAGGCCUGUCUGCUCCAGAAAGCUUCUGCUCCCCCACGGAGGCCGGCGGGAGGGAAGCAGAUGAUCUGAGAAGCAAUUUGGUCUUGCGGUCCUCUCGACAGAUGCUGGGCACCGUAAGAAUUAAUGGCCUGGAGACUCAGGUCACCUGGUUCCCAGGUAACCGCCACCUGGAGACGAGAAAAGCAUUCAUGAGAGUUUCCAUCGUGGAGCAGUGAAAAGGAACCCGACUAGAAUCUAUGAGGAUGCGGGUCUGAUCCCUGGCCUUGUGCAGUGGGUCGGGGGUCUGGCAUUGCUGUGAGCUGCGGCAUAGGUCUCAGACGCACCUUGCUGUGGCUGUGGUGUAGGCCAGCAGCUAUAGCUUUGAUUCGACCCUUAGCCAGGCAACUUCCAUAUGCAGCAGGUGUGACCCUGAAAAGAAAGAAAGAAAAAAAAUAAAAAGAAAAGCAUUCACCACUGAAAGCCAGGGAUUCCUCGGCACCCCCCAGGGGCCACCUGCUGAGGGAAAGCUGAUACCACGGAUCUAAACCUCACUAGGCUUCCUCAUUCUAUUAAUCUGGCCAUAAAGCAGAGUCCCGCAGACAAGGACAGAUGCGGAGCUUUGCCGUGCCAAUGGCAGAGGGUGUUAGAAGAAGCCUCAGCAGCCACUCAAGCCACCUCCUCCAACUCAGAACAGCUGCUCGGGGACAGAUUCGCCAAGCAGGAGGUGGGGGCUGAUGCAGUGACUACUAGGGAGACAGGGCAAGCCGGGCUGUUGCCACAUGAAAUCCAGGGGUCAGGCCCACCUGUGCCCCUGUGCUCCAGGUCGGAACAGAGAGUGCCUUUCUCCGGAGCAAAGGGCACUGGAGGGAGGAAGCAGGAACUGACCUCGGGCUCAAGUAUGUCCGCCACCUGCCUCUGCAUGGCUGGCUCUUCCAAGUUCAGCCACAUCUGCCGUCCUGCUCGUGCCAUGUGGGUAAUGUUUGGGGUGCCACGUUCUGCCAGAAAACCUUUCCCUGCUCCUCUCGUCUGACCUCCCUGCAGGCAGCAGCCAAUCCCGUUGUGAGUCCCAGCAGGCUGAGGCCCGGCAUCCAGGCAGAUCUGGCCACGGCCUUGUGCCAACAGUUACAAAAAAACAUUUGCACUUUGGCUGAGUUCCAGUGUCUCUUGAAUGUGGGAAAUCAGAACUCGGAGAAAGACAAUAACUUCCUACAGUUCCCCAAAGACCGAGCACCAGAUGAGACCAAUGGGGUGUUGGCUGGAGACAAAUGGAGCCGUUUCCCUGAUGGCGUGACAUCAAUGCAGAAAACCCACCUUGUGCCACGGGUGGCUACGGACCAGGGCUGGGGUCUCUGAGAGGUCAUUGUGGAGGGUUGAGCUGUUACACUCCCAGCAUGCUGGCCGGAACCGAGGGCAUGUGACUGUUCUUUUCCAAGGAGGUUUUGAAGGGCUGGUUGGGCCAUAUCCAUAGUGAAAGAUAGAGCAAGGCCAAGGAUGGAACCAUCCAGAACCACCCAGAGCCAUCCAUCCAGGCUACAGGCACUCCACCCCAGUGAGUUUUGGCUUCCAGAAUUCUGGGCACAGACUAUGUGCCCAGGGUUUGAGCCUGUACGUUUUCUUUCUGGGCAGAGACUGAUAAAGAAGAGAAAGGCCAGCAUUUUAAGAACGCACCCUAGAAGUUCUCUCCUAAGCGUGGGGAGUCACAUUUCCCAAAGUGGGGCACACCUACCUCUGAGAGUCCUCUGGGAUGGUUUUUGAGGGCACCGAAAGGAGCUUUUCAAUAUUAUGAAUUUAAGAUUUAAUGUUUUGAAAAAAUAUCUAACUGGCAUGUCAAAGGUGUGAUUUCAGCAAUAUGGUUCCUCGAGAUAGCGUUUCUCAACCUCGGCCCUGCUGACAUUUAGGGCUGGAUAAUUCUUCCUGUGGGGACGUCCCGCAUCUUGUAGGAUGUUUAGCAGCCUCUCUGGCUUCUACUCACCAGAGACCAGUAAGUAACCACCCCCGCUCCCUGGCAAGGUGAGGUAAACCCAAAUGCCUCAACAGGGCUAAACGCCCUCUGAGGGCCAAAGACACCCCUGAUGGGGAACCGCUAGCUGAGGCCAAGUCUCCUUCUGAAAGGAAAGUAAGUGAAUUUAGGAGAUCCGGCUGUGGUGUAAGGGGACGGGCGGGUCUCUGGGAGCGCUGGGACCCAGGUUCUAGUCCUGGCCCAGCACAGGUGUGGUGCAGCUGUGGCAUAGGUUUCAACGGUGGCUCAAAUCUGAUCCCUGGCUUAGGAGCUCCAUACGUUGCAGGCGGCCGAAAAAAGGAAGGAAAAAAAAAAAAAA